AAACCAACAGGGAUUACCUCAGUAACGGCGAGUGAAGCGGUAAAAGCUCAAAUUUGAAAGCCCGCGGGCAUUGUAAUUUGAAGGUUGGGGCCAGGCACGGCAGCAAGUCCAUUGGAACAUGGCGCCACAGAGGGUGAGAGCCCCGUCAGCCACGCCACUAAUGGCCCCGUCCAAAGAGUCGAGUUGUUUGGGAAUGCAGCUCUAAGUGGGUGGUAAAUUCCAUCUAAAGCUAAAUAUUGGCGAGAGACCGAUAGCGAACAAGUACAGUGAUGGAAAGAUGAAAAGCACUUUGAAAAGAGAGUGAAACAGUACGUGAAAUUGUUGAAAGGGAAGGGCUUGCAAGCAGACACGAUUCCCUCGGGAAUUGGGCCAGCAUCGGUUGCGGGGGGCAGAAAAGGCCGCGGGAAUGUAGCUCAUUGAGUGUUAUAGCCCGACGGAGAUGUGCCCACCGGCGACCGAGGCCUGCGUUUUACACUAGGAUGCUGGCGUAAUGGUUGCAAGUCGC
This 505-nucleotide ribosomal RNA is filed under the name Metschnikowia sp. (in: budding yeasts & allies). RNAcentral's name for it is "Metschnikowia sp. (in: Fungi) partial large subunit ribosomal RNA". It matches the Rfam family "Eukaryotic large subunit ribosomal RNA", at positions 62 to 648 of the family's 3401-position model. The record is from RNAcentral. Lineage: Eukaryota; Fungi; Ascomycota; Pichiomycetes; Serinales; Metschnikowiaceae.